UCGAUCUGCCUCGGCGUCGUUUGGAUCGUUGCGGCGACGACUUCGUCGGUUUUCAGCUCCGGCACCUACAUCCUGAAGGAGUACAAUCUCGUGUCUGGAUGGCGACGGACAUGUUGACCAUAUACCUGCACUAUGAAGAUACAAAUCAGGAAGCCAAAAUUUUACAAUGAUCCAUGAUGAGGCGUCAUGUCUCGUAUUAUGACUUAAUCUUGAUGAUCGAGGAAGUUGGCUUUCAGGCAAUUGACUUUCUGUACUAUGAAAAAAAAACCGUCUAGGCAGCUCCUACUUAGUUCACAUUUACGAUCCCUUUCUGUACCUUGUUAUUGAUUCUGUGCUAGAGGUGAGGGAAACGAGGGAUCUUACGGGUGAAUCUGUUUCAAGACCGAACCAGCAAGGGACUAGAACUGCACACCCACACCUAGCUCGCUCAAAAAGAAGGCGCACUUCUUUCAUCAAGGUAAAGAUUCACCAAGGAGCAUGGUUUACUGCACCCAAAUUCCCAACCCAAACCACAUUAUGAUGCCUGCUUGAAAAAUGGAUUUUGUUACAAAUUUUGCUCAAUCUGCUAUAUGCAAGUAAAGGAUACAUUUAACCAAGCAUGAGCAAGCGAGGUGACCUUGGGCGUUAGACUUUGUUGCCAGGUCUAGUUUAUUUAGUUUUUUAGGGCACC
Molecule: long non-coding RNA, 670 nt
Organism: Triticum dicoccoides
Lineage: Eukaryota; Viridiplantae; Streptophyta; Magnoliopsida; Poales; Poaceae
Exons: 3
Source: RefSeq, a predicted model, not a curated record